GAUGAACGCUGGCGGCGUGCUUAACACAUGCAAGUCGAACGGGAUCCAAGGGGUGCUUGCACUUUUUGGUGAGAGUGGCGAACGGGUGAGUAACACGUGAGUAACCUGUCCUUUUCUUUGGGAUAAGCAUUCGAAAGGGUGUUUAAUACCUUAUGUUCUGUCUGCCUCGCAUGGGGUGGGUGGGAAAGGCUUUGGCCGGAUUUGGGUGGGCUCGCGGUCUAUCAGCUUGUUGGUGGGGUGAUGGCUUACCAAGGCUUUGACGGGUAGCCGGCCUGAGAGGGUGGUCGGUGACAUUGGGACUGAGAUACGGCCCAGACUCCUGCGGGAGGCAGCAGUGGGGGAAAUUGCACAAUGGGCGAAAGCCUGAUGCAGCGACGCCGCGUGGGGGAUGAAGGCCUUCGGGUUGUAAACUUCUUUUGCUCUGAACAAGGCAUGCCAGUGGGUGUGUUGAGUGUAGGGGUUGAUUAGCGCCGGCUAACUACGUG
RNAcentral lists this ribosomal RNA (485 nucleotides) under uncultured bacterium. Its description in RNAcentral is "partial 16S ribosomal RNA". It matches the Rfam family "Bacterial small subunit ribosomal RNA", at positions 28 to 507 of the family's 1533-position model. The record is from RNAcentral.